Molecule: non-coding RNA, 350 nt
Organism: Pelobates cultripes (western spadefoot toad)
Lineage: Eukaryota; Metazoa; Chordata; Amphibia; Anura; Pelobatidae
Source: the annotation of a GenBank genome assembly
CUCAGUCAUAGAGAUACAUCGUAAACAGACAGCCAUACAGGCACACUCAUACAGACACACUUGCACAUUCAGACACAAUCAUGCAGAAACACACACAAACAUCUUUAUGAACUACCAUGCUAUUGCCAUGGCACCUGUUCCUAUGAGGUCCGUAUAUACACCACAAGCAGGGCCAAUGUCCCUCUCUAAUGUGCCGCCACUCCUUCUGGCAUCCUACUAAAACCAGCUGAUUCACGCUAGAGCCUUUUAAAGUCUUCCAUCCACUCUGACAGAGUUAAUUACAAAAAUGUGCGUGCAUCAUCACACCAGAGACACACGCACAUCCUGGUAUCACAUGGGUCAAAGUGAAC